GAUGAACGCUGGCGGCGUGCCUAAUACAUGCAAGUCGAGCGAACAGACGAGGCGCUUGCUCCUUCGACGUUAGCGGCGGACGGGUGAGUAACACGUAGGUAACCUACCUAUAAGACUGGGAUAACUUCGGGAAACCGGAGCUAAUACCGGAUAAUAUUUCGAACCGCAUGGUUCGAUAGUGAAAGAUGGCUUUGCUAUCACUUAUAGAUGGACCUGCGCUGUAUUAGCUAGUUGGUAAGGUAACGGCUUACCCAGGCAACGAUACGUAGCCGACCUGAGAGGGGGAUCGGCCACACUGGAACUGAGACACGGUCCAGACUCCUACGGGAGGCAGCAGUAGGGAAUCUUCCGCAAUGGGCGAAAGCCUUACGGAGCAACGCCGCGUGAGUGAUGAAGGUCUUCGGAUCGUAAAACUCUGUUAUUAGGGAAGAACAUACGUGUAAGUAACUGUGCACGUCUUGACGGUACCUAAUCAGAAAGCCACGGCUAACUACGUG
RNAcentral lists this ribosomal RNA (497 nucleotides) under uncultured bacterium. RNAcentral describes it as "partial 16S ribosomal RNA". It matches the Rfam family "Bacterial small subunit ribosomal RNA", at positions 28 to 507 of the family's 1533-position model. The record is from RNAcentral.